This 253-nucleotide ribosomal RNA is filed under the name uncultured bacterium. Its description in RNAcentral is "partial 16S ribosomal RNA". It matches the Rfam family "Bacterial small subunit ribosomal RNA", at positions 524 to 776 of the family's 1533-position model. The record is from RNAcentral.
UACGUAGGGUGCGAGCGUUGUCCGGAAUUAUUGGGCGUAAAGAGCUCGUAGGCGGUGUGUCACGUCGGCCGUGAAAACCUGCAGCUUAACUGUGGGCGUGCGGUCGAUACGGGCAGACUAGAGUUCGGUAGGGGAGACUGGAAUUCCUGGUGUAGCGGUGAAAUGCGCAGAUAUCAGGAGGAACACCGGUGGCGAAGGCGGUUCUCUGGGCAUUACCUGACGCUGAGGAGCGAAAGUGUGGGGAGCGAACAGG